CUUCUUCUUCUUGUCCUCCUCCUUAUUCUUCUUCUUCUUAUUAUUAUUCUUCUUCUUCUUCUCCUUCUCCUUCUUCUUCUUCUCCUUCUUCUUCUCCUCCUUCUUCUUCUUCUCCUUCUUCUUCUUCUCAUUCUUCUUCUUCUUCUUAUUCUUCUUCCCCUUCUUGUUCUUCUUAGCUGAUUAUCCUCCAAAAUGACAUAAUUAGGUUAUGUAGUUCAUUUAUGACAUAAUUAUCUUAGUUAGGACAAAAAUGGCAUAAUAACCUUGGUUAGCUCAUAAAUGUUAUAUACUUAGCUUGUUUUCCUCUAAAAUGACAUAAUUAGCUUAGUUAGGUCAAAAAUAGCAUGAUAACCUUGG
RNAcentral lists this long non-coding RNA (357 nucleotides) under Hordeum vulgare. RNAcentral describes it as "long non-coding RNA (HVUL_LNC020090)". The record is from RNAcentral. Lineage: Eukaryota; Viridiplantae; Streptophyta; Magnoliopsida; Poales; Poaceae.